Long non-coding RNA from Lycium barbarum (goji berry), 3795 nucleotides. RefSeq lists it as uncharacterized. The record is from RefSeq and is a predicted model, not a curated record. NCBI's taxonomy places the organism in Eukaryota, Viridiplantae, Streptophyta, Magnoliopsida, Solanales, Solanaceae. The transcript has 2 exons.
UAGAUAGUUGUGUGAAGAAAUUUCAUUCCACAAUUUUUCUUGCUUUAACACCUUUAAUAUAAUUUCCACUGUUUUUGUUUGACGUUAUAACUUAUAAGGACUCUAUCAUCUAUGCACAUAUUAUAAUUGAUAAAAUCUAUUGAAAUUGGUUUUAAAAAGUUGGGAAAGAAAGUUAGCUUUUGUAUAUAAAAAUGGCAUCUCAUGAGAAUUGAACGGUGGGAAUAAAAUUAGAUGUCUUAAUUUUGUUGCACUUAAUUUUUUUUUUUUUAGUUUUUUUUUUUAUCGAUUUGAUCUACUAUCAAUGGAUUUCGUUGUUUAAUUUCCUUCGUUUCUAGGGACGGAACCAUCUUGUCCUCUGUAAAACCUCACAUUUUAUGUCAAAAUCUACCAUUCAUUCUUUUGAAUAAAUUGAAAAGACAUUAAAAAAUAGGGAGCAAAAUGCAACUAGUUGGUUUUAUAGUCAUUGGGGAAACAAACAUUUGUAGAUGCAAAUCAAUUAUCAAUUUUAUUUUUAUAUUUUAGCUAAAGAGUAGAGAGAGAAACUCCUGACUUGUCUCUUUCUCACCUAGUAACCUAAACACCCAUUUUGAUCGUUGACUGGAGGAUGACCACAUUCACCGCCUCUAAGGAAAACACCCUCCUGUCUAUACCGCCGGAACCCCCAGAUCCUAAAACACAACAUAUGGAAGCAGACCCCCCUUCUUCCCAUAUCACUCCCAUCUCCUACAAAGACAACUCGCCCCUAGAACCACCAGAGGAUCUAGAUGCCAUCACCCUAAUGGUGGAAGAGAAAAAUAGAAUCUGUCGUCCCUGGCGUCUAUCAAUGAUUAUUAAAAUCUUUGGAAAAAGAUUCAAUCACCAAUACCUGAGAAAUAAGCUGAUAGAUCUAUGGAAAUUAGAGAAAACCCUAACUCUAAUUGAUCUUGGAUGCGACUUCUUUGUUGUCAAAUUCAAGAGGGAUGAAAGUCUAGAUAAAGUACUACAUGAUGGCCUGUGGUUUGUAGCGGGAAAUUUUUCUCUUUGUACGCCCAAUGGGAACCAAAUUUCGUGCCGGAAGAAAAUACCAUUUAUUCUAUGACCAUUUGGGUUCGUCGUCCACAACUACCUAUGGAAUUCUAUGAUAGAGGCAUCCUAGAAUGAAUUGGAAGACAAAUUAGUGAAAAUUGAUGUAUGCACCUCCUCUACUGUUAGAGGGCGAUAUGCACGCAUCUGUGUGGAAAUUAAUUUGGGGGUUCCGAUCAAAACUUCAAUCACGAUAGGGAACCCCACCGUUAACUCGUAAUCUAUGAGAGGGAGGGUAUUUUGUGCAUUAGUUGUGGUCACACCACAGUUAAUUGCACCUUUGUCCAACCAUCACCUAACCCAACCCCAAGAUCUGAACAAGGAAAAAAACGGGGAGCAAUGAGAGGCAAACAGUCAACUUCGGACGGAGAAGACGAAGCCCACUGAAGAAAGAAGUAAAAGCCUCAAACUCGAAGGCCGAUAAAAUCAAGUGAUCCAACCAGCAAGUUAAAAUAAUUUGAUACCGGCUCAGGUAAGUUUUUUGAAGCUCUGCGGUUGAUUGGAGAGUAACCGGUAAAGGUAAGGCGCGGCGAAGGAUCCUAGGGCAAAAUCCAAAGGGCCUAACACCAUUAUGGACCACAUGAUUUGGGUCGAGGCAGAGGUCAUACUCGUUAAACCAGCCCCCAAAAAAAAUUUAAAAAGUCAAUUUUAUUGAUCAGCUCGCUAAAGAAUCUGUGUCCCAUAUGGGACAAGCCCAAACGCAAUAUUAUAAGCCCACCGGUAUUAGUUUGGGUAUGGAUUCUUCUAAUAACCCAACAAAUAUUAUGGACCCCCACCCAGGCCCAAUGACAGUAAUAAAAAGGCUAAAAAAAGGGACCAUGAUGAGUUGACUAACCCAGAUAAAAAAAAUCCAUCUUAAGUCAACUAUUUCUGAUCCGGUUUUGUUUACUUAUAUAAUAGCAAAAAUGAGAUGGAUACUAAUAUGCAAAAUCUUACUAACCUACCUCGUUCGUCUAACUUCCUAACUGACUCCAUAUUCGCCAAUAUGGAUUCUCCCCUCCCCAAAACCCUCAAUUCGCCUCUUUCCAAGAGUAAUGAUUACUCUGGCUCGGACGUGCAUGGGUGCGACAAAACCAAAGCGUUUGCAUUUAAUGCAAAACCACUUCAGUAAAUCUUUAUAAACAAGCCUUUGGAUGUGUUCAAAACACCAUCUGUACAUACCCACUUUACUACCGUCUCUUCUUUCCCCGCCUUACCAGAACCUAUUACUAAAGAAACUCAAAAUGUCGAUACAGAACAAUACUCUGUAUUUCGUGAUUGCAUCACUACCACUAGACUAUACCCUAACUUCAUGGCUGGAGUGGGGUCUCCUAGGCCAAUCCUUCACCUUGAACCUAGUUGUGGACCACCAAUAUAUUACCAUAGUGGUCCAGGAUGCAUCUUUCCUAGCCCAUCUAGAGACGGAGGGCCUGAACCUGGGUCUGGGGAAUUAUGGUCAUCAGGUUUGGAUGCAAACCUUGUUGUUGCUGCAAACUCUACUCAGAGACAUUCCUAUGCCAAUCAACCCUCAGACUCUGAACUCUUUGAUGACAGAGGUGACCGACAACACCCCUGUCUUCCCCAUACCGAAACCAUAGAUGUUGCCUUUCAACCAAGGUUUGUCCAAUAGACUGCUCCUCCUCCCUAGAACCACAUGCAAGUAGAAUUGACCUCAGUGUUGACUUAAAUGGCCUCUUUAGAAGCUCUGAGAGUCGACCACCAGACCCUAGAAACUCUGAGGGCCAACAAAAAAGAACUGAAGGUUAUGUUGACCUCCAUGCAAAUACCCAAAUUCGAUGCGAUGACCCUAGAGAAACUAGAACUAGUGGAGUUCAAUGGACCCAGGAGUGAGCUUCUGAUAGUUUUAUGCCCCCGUCAUCUGACCAAGUUUGCUCUAGGUAUCAAAUACCCUGUGGUCCCAGCGACAGGGAACUUUGCAACAACGUUGAACCCAACCCUGAGCAAGGCUCCUGUGUAAACCCAGAACAACAACUUCAACCCAAGGGGAAAGGGGAAAAGAGUGAAAAAGAAUUCCCCAAAACAUCACAGGAUGCUACUCAUGAACUUCAUCAUAUGGAAUGCUAGAGGAGCAAAUAGCCUUGAAUUUAAAAGACAUUAUACUGCCAUGAUUGACCUUCAUAGGCCUGCCAUGCUUUGUCUGCUUGAAAAUAAAAUGAAUGAGCACAAGCAUAUUGCAGAACAAUUAGGCUUUAAUACUCAUUUUCAGUCACCUGCUGUGAGUAACUCUGGGGGAUUAGUGGUAAUGUGGAAGGAUGAUAUUUUGAAGGUUCAAGAGAUCACCAUUACCAAUAAGGGAAUCCAUGCUUUAGUUAAGGGAUUGAGACUAGAAGAUGAACACAAUCUAAAACCUUUGGAAAUCAACUGUGAUUCCACUGAGGUAAUCAACAUGUUGAAAAAUGGGCACACUCCUUACAAACUGUUAUCUCUGAAAGUAGGUUGUUCAUGCACAAGCUGGGCCUUCCGGAGCUAAAACAUAUAUACCGUGAGCAGAAUACGGUAGCAGAUCUACUAGCAAAGGAAGGUGCUUGGAAAAAGUUUUUUAGUGCAGUGAAAGUUCAUGCGGUUCCUCCUUUUUUUUUUUUUUUUUUUUUUUUUUUUUUGUGAGCAAUGUUUUUGGGAUGACAAGAGAGGAACUACUUUUGAAAGAUGCGUAAAUUUUGUUAAUGUUCAAACAAUGGCGCACCCGCCAGGGCAUGUAACAGGCAUAAGCCUAAACAACGAUUAACUUUAGUA